ACGGUGGUUGCCCGCCGCUACGGGAGAGGGGCUCGCGGAGGCUGGGUCGAUCUGCAGAUAAUUUAUUGCUUAGGGCGAGGAAAAUCAAUCAACACCCACUUGAGGCAAGAUGCAGAACUCAAAUGUUCAGUUAACGGAGGGAGUGAGGGAUACAGGGUUUACCUCGGCGGCGAAAACAGAGGAGACCGAGACGAACCGCACAGUUAGCGAGCGACAGGGAACGAACCAGAGAGGCGGAGGUGAAGGCGG
Molecule: long non-coding RNA, 249 nt
Filed under: Lotus japonicus
Lineage: Eukaryota; Viridiplantae; Streptophyta; Magnoliopsida; Fabales; Fabaceae
Description: long non-coding RNA (LJAP_LNC002016)
Source: RNAcentral